UACGGAGGGUGCAAGCGUUGUCCGGAUUUAUUGGGUUUAAAGGGUGCGUAGGCGGCCGAUUAAGUCAGUGGUGAAAUCCCGCAGCUCAACUGUGGAACUGCCAUUGAUACUGGUUGGCUUGAGUACAAUCGAGGUAGGCGGAAUUUAUGGUGUAGCGGUGAAAUGCAUAGAUACCAUAAAGAACACCGAUAGCGAAGGCAGCUUACUAGACUGUAACUGACGCUGAUGCACGAAAGCGUGGGGAGCGAACAGG
RNAcentral lists this ribosomal RNA (253 nucleotides) under uncultured bacterium. RNAcentral's name for it is "partial 16S ribosomal RNA". It matches the Rfam family "Bacterial small subunit ribosomal RNA", at positions 524 to 776 of the family's 1533-position model. The record is from RNAcentral.